Molecule: transfer RNA, 87 nt
Filed under: Terasakiella brassicae
Lineage: Bacteria; Pseudomonadati; Pseudomonadota; Alphaproteobacteria; Rhodospirillales; Terasakiellaceae
Also listed under: 2 other names
Description: tRNA-Leu
Rfam family: tRNA
About the family: Transfer RNA (tRNA) molecules are approximately 80 nucleotides in length. Their secondary structure includes four short double-helical elements and three loops (D, anti-codon, and T loops).
Source: RNAcentral
GGCGGUGUGAUGGAAUUGGUAGACGUGAGGGAUUCAAAAUCCCUUGUCCGCAAGGACGUGCCGGUUCGACUCCGGCCACCGCUACCA